GACGAACGCUGGCGGCGUGCCUAAUACAUGCAAGUCGAACGAGAGCGACCGGUGCUUGCACUGGUCAAUCUAGUGGCGAACGGGUGAGUAACACGUGGGUAACCUGCUCAUCAGAGGGGGAUAACAUCCGGAAACGGAUGCUAAAACCGCAUAGGUCUUCGAGCCGCAUGGCUUGAAGAGGAAAAGAGGCGCAAGCUUCUGCUGAUGGAUGGACCCGCGGUGCAUUAGCUAGUUGGUGAGGUAACGGCUCACCAAGGCCGUGAUGCAUAGCCGACCUGAGGGGGUGAUCGGCCACAUUGGGACUGAGACACGGCCCAAACUCCUACGGGAGGCAGCAGUAGGGAAUCUUCCGCAAAGGACGCAAGUCUGACGGAGCAACGCCGCGUGAGUGAAGAAGGUUUUCGGAUCGUAAAACUCUGUUGUUAGAGAAGAACAAGUGCUAGAGUAACUGUUAGCGCCUUGACGGUAUCUAACCAGAAAGCCACGGCUAACUACGUG
This 498-nucleotide ribosomal RNA is filed under the name uncultured bacterium. RNAcentral describes it as "partial 16S ribosomal RNA". It matches the Rfam family "Bacterial small subunit ribosomal RNA", at positions 28 to 507 of the family's 1533-position model. The record is from RNAcentral.